Molecule: unclassified non-coding RNA, 634 nt
Filed under: Bidens torta
Lineage: Eukaryota; Viridiplantae; Streptophyta; Magnoliopsida; Asterales; Asteraceae
Description: partial external transcribed spacer
Source: RNAcentral
AUCUAUUGCCUGGCCAAUUGUGGGUUUCUGUGUUGCGUACCUAAGCAUUGGUAUUGUCUUGGUUGAUUACAGUUGAUUUCGUCUCCCGCCAGUUUUGUGGCAUCAGAUGAACCACAAAGCGGUCUCUUUGAUCCACAACAUUAUGCUUGCGUUGAUGUUGUGGCUCAUUGAGCGUUGCUUGGUAUCCUGGAUAUGGAAAAUGAUGUGGGCAUGGGGUCUCAUGGGAUCCUUGUUUUGCCCUCAUUUAGCGUUUGUGCCUCUCUUAACAUGACUUGCUGUCUUGCCUGGUUUGGCCUUGCCAUCGGGAGGGUUUGUCAAAGUUAACAAUGCUUACUGUCUUGCCUGAUUUGGCCUGCCAUCGGGAGGGUUUGUCAAAGUUAACAAUGCCUACUGUCUUGCCUGAAUUGGCCUUGCCAUCGGGAGGGUUUGUCAAAGUUAACAAUGCCUACUGUCUUGCCUGAUUUGGCUUUGCCAUCAGGAGGGUUUGUCAAAGUUAACAUGACCUACUGUCUUGCCUGAAUCGGCUUUGCCAUUGGGAUCAGGAGGGUUUGUCAAAGAGUGGCGCAUCACCUUGAAAGACUUGCCUGUCCCGUGGUGGCUCGUACCAGCGGGCGGGUUAUUCAAUUAGGGAUGC